GACGAACGCUGGCGGCGUGCUUAACACAUGCAAGUCGAGCGGUAAGGCCCUUUCGGGGGUACGACGAGCGGCGAACGGGUGAGUAACACGUGGGUGACCUGCCCUCAGCUCUGGGAUAAGCCUGGGAAACCGGGUCUAAUACUGGAUAUGACUCCAUGACGCAUGUUGUGGGGUGGAAAGCCUUGUGCGGCUGAGGAUGGGCCCGCGGCCUAUCAGCUUGUUGGNGGGGUGAGGCCUACCAAGGCGACGACGGGUAGCCGGCCUGAGAGGGCGACCGGCCACACUGGGACUGAGACACGGCCCAGACUCCUACGGGAGGCAGCAGUGGGGAAUCUUGCGCAAUGGGCGAAAGCCUGACGCAGCGACGCCGCGUGA
RNAcentral lists this ribosomal RNA (375 nucleotides) under uncultured bacterium. RNAcentral describes it as "bacterial SSU rRNA". It matches the Rfam family "Bacterial small subunit ribosomal RNA", at positions 28 to 404 of the family's 1533-position model. The record is from RNAcentral.